AUGGACAGAUAUAUAGAUGAGCUCGAAAUUAUUGGAGGAAAGCAGGAAAUAGAGAGAAUGGAGCCAAGGGUUCCAGCGCAAAACAGGAGACCAAAACCUCCUCCAAUGGGAUACGCCAAGAUCAAUGUAGAUGCUGGAUGCCGAAGAGGAAGCCGAGGAACAGCGGCCGCAGUAUGCAGGGACAGUACAGGUGCUUUCCUUGGGAGUUCAGCAUUGGUCAUCCGCGGAGUGGAUGAUCCGGCAACGCUAGAAGCAAUAGCAUGUCGGGAAGGAAUGGCGCUUGUAGCAGACCUUCACUUAGAUUAG
RNAcentral lists this ribosomal RNA (306 nucleotides) under Triticum aestivum (bread wheat). Its description in RNAcentral is "partial small subunit ribosomal RNA". Lineage: Eukaryota; Viridiplantae; Streptophyta; Magnoliopsida; Poales; Poaceae. The record is from RNAcentral.